GUGCUUGCUUCAGUAGCACAUAUACUAAAAUUGGAAAAAUACAGAGAAGGUUAUUAGCAUGGCUCCUGUACAAGGAUGACUCCCAAACUCAUGAAAUUCCAAACUUUAAA
This 110-nucleotide small nuclear RNA is filed under the name Marmota monax (woodchuck). Lineage: Eukaryota; Metazoa; Chordata; Mammalia; Rodentia; Sciuridae. The record is from RNAcentral.